Molecule: ribosomal RNA, 1122 nt
Filed under: Escherichia coli
Lineage: Bacteria; Pseudomonadati; Pseudomonadota; Gammaproteobacteria; Enterobacterales; Enterobacteriaceae
Description: partial 23S ribosomal RNA
Rfam family: Bacterial large subunit ribosomal RNA
Source: RNAcentral
CCCUGGCAGUCAGAGGCGAUGAAGGACGUGCUAAUCUGCGAUAAGCGUCGGUAAGGUGAUAUGAACCGUUAUAACCGGCGAUUUCCGAAUGGGGAAACCCAGUGUGUUUCGACACACUAUCAUUAACUGAAUCCAUAGGUUAAUGAGGCGAACCGGGGGAACUGAAACAUCUAAGUACCCCGAGGAAAAGAAAUCAACCGAGAUUCCCCCAGUAGCGGCGAGCGAACGGGGAGCAGCCCAGAGCCUGAAUCAGUAUGUGUGUUAGUGGAAGCGUCUGGAAAGGCGCGCGAUACAGGGUGACAGCCCCGUACACAAAAAUGCACAUGCUGUGAGCUCGAUGAGUAGGGCGGGACACGUGGUAUCCUGUCUGAAUAUGGGGGGACCAUCCUCCAAGGCUAAAUACUCCUGACUGACCGAUAGUGAACCAGUACCGUGAGGGAAAGGCGAAAAGAACCCCGGCGAGGGGAGUGAAAAAGAACCUGAAACCGUGUACGUACAAGCAGUGGGAGCACGCUUAGGCGUGUGACUGCGUACCUUUUGUAUAAUGGGUCAGCGACUUAUAUUCUGUAGCAAGGUUAACCGAAUAGGGGAGCCGAAGGGAAACCGAGUCUUAACUGGGCGUUAAGUUGCAGGGUAUAGACCCGAAACCCGGUGAUCUAGCCAUGGGCAGGUUGAAGGUUGGGUAACACUAACUGGAGGACCGAACCGACUAAUGUUGAAAAAUUAGCGGAUGACUUGUGGCUGGGGGUGAAAGGCCAAUCAAACCGGGAGAUAGCUGGUUCUCCCCGAAAGCUAUUUAGGUAGCGCCUCGUGAAUUCAUCUCCGGGGGUAGAGCACUGUUUCGGCAAGGGGGUCAUCCCGACUUACCAACCCGAUGCAAACUGCGAAUACCGGAGAAUGUUAUCACGGGAGACACACGGCGGGUGCUAACGUCCGUCGUGAAGAGGGAAACAACCCAGACCGCCAGCUAAGGUCCCAAAGUCAUGGUUAAGUGGGAAACGAUGUGGGAAGGCCCAGACAGCCAGGAUGUUGGCUUAGAAGCAGCCAUCAUUUAAAGAAAGCGUAAUAGCUCACUGGUCGAGUCGGCCUGCGCGGAAGAUGUAACGGGGCUAAACCAUGCAC